AUUGCGGUAUCAUCCUCAUCAUUGUCGCUGACGAUGAAAGAAAGCCCUCGUUAAUUUUCAUCACCACAGAUAAAAUUAAUAAAGUAUUUGAUUUCUAAAUUUUCUUUCAUGUAUUUUAUUUAUAGAUUAUAGUUAGAUAUAUAAAGAUUUUAAUUUUAAGAUUAUUUUCGGAUUUAAAUUUAAAAUUUUGAAAUUUUAUUUUUGGGGAUUAAAGUGAAAAAUAUACAAAAUAUAGCGAUCAGGGACCAAAAUAAAAAAUAGUGAAA
Molecule: long non-coding RNA, 266 nt
Filed under: Ananas comosus (pineapple)
Lineage: Eukaryota; Viridiplantae; Streptophyta; Magnoliopsida; Poales; Bromeliaceae
Description: long non-coding RNA (ACOM_LNC016356)
Source: RNAcentral